RNAcentral lists this unclassified non-coding RNA (346 nucleotides) under soil metagenome. Its description in RNAcentral is "partial contains 5.8S ribosomal RNA, internal transcribed spacer 2, and large subunit ribosomal RNA". The stretch from base 1 to 120 matches the Rfam family "5.8S ribosomal RNA", at positions 35 to 154 of the family's 154-position model. The record is from RNAcentral.
GAUGAAGAACGUAGCGAAAUGCGAUAAGUAGUGUGAAUUGCAGAAUUCAGUGAAUCAUCGAAUCUUUGAACGCACAUUGCGCCCCCUGGUAUUCCGGGGGGCAUGCCUGUCCGAGCGUCAUUGCUGCCCUCAAGCACGGCUUGUGUGUUGGGCCCCGUCCUCCGAUUCCGGGGGACGGGCCCGAAAGGCAGCGGCGGCACCGCGUCCGGUCCUCGAGCGUAUGGGGCUUUGUCACCCGCUCUGUAGGCCCGGCCGGCGCUUGCCGAUCAACCCAAAUUUUUAUCCAGGUUGACCUCGGAUCAGGUAGGGAUACCCGCUGAACUUAAGCAUAUCAAUAAGCGGAGGA